This 229-nucleotide ribosomal RNA is filed under the name uncultured bacterium. RNAcentral's name for it is "partial 16S ribosomal RNA". It matches the Rfam family "Bacterial small subunit ribosomal RNA", at positions 568 to 796 of the family's 1533-position model. The record is from RNAcentral.
UGCGUAGGCGGAUAGAUAAGUCAGAGGUGAAAGCCUCCCGCUCAACGGGAGAACUGCCUUUGAUACUGUUUAUCUUGAAUGAGGUUGAGGUUAGCGGAAUGUGACAUGUAGCGGUGAAAUGCAUAGAUAUGUCAUAGAACACCAAUUGCGUAGGCAGCUAGCUAGGCCUUUAUUGACGCUGAGGCACGAAAGCGUGGGGAGCGAACAGGAUUAGAUACCCUGGUAGUCC